GCCAGCGUAGCUCAAUGGCAGAGCAACGGUUUUGUAAACCGUAGGUUGUGGGUUCAAGUCCCUCCGCUGGCUCAA
Molecule: transfer RNA, 75 nt
Filed under: Candidatus Brennerbacteria bacterium RIFOXYB1_FULL_41_13
Lineage: Bacteria; Candidatus Brenneribacteriota
Also listed under: 2 other names
Description: tRNA-Thr
Rfam family: tRNA
About the family: Transfer RNA (tRNA) molecules are approximately 80 nucleotides in length. Their secondary structure includes four short double-helical elements and three loops (D, anti-codon, and T loops).
Source: RNAcentral